Molecule: ribosomal RNA, 687 nt
Filed under: uncultured bacterium
Lineage: Bacteria
Description: bacterial SSU rRNA
Rfam family: Bacterial small subunit ribosomal RNA
Source: RNAcentral
AACGAACGCUAGCGGCAGGCCUAACACAUGCAAGUCGAACGCUCGUAGCAAUACGGGAGUGGCGCACGGGUGAGUAACGCGUGGGCACCUACCCGGUGGUCCGGAAUAACCGCGGGAAACUGCGGCUAAUACCGAAUAAGCCCUUAGGGGGUAAAGGAAUUUAUUCGCCAUCGGAUGGGCCCGGCCGUCGGAUUAGCUAGUUGGUGUGGUAACGGCGCACCAAGGCGACGAUCCGUAGCUGGUCUGAGAGGAUGAUCAGCCACACUGGGACUGAGACACGGCCCAGACUCCUACGGGAGGCAGCAGUGGGGAAUAUUGGACAAUGGGCGCAAGCCUGAUCCAGCCAUGCCGCGUGAGUGAAGAAGGCCUUCGGGUUGUAAAGCUCUUUUGGCGGGGACGAUGAUGACGGUACCCGCAGAAUAAGCCCCCGGCUAACUUCGUGCCAGCAGCCGCGGUAAGACGAAGGGGCUAGCUUGUUCGGAAUUACUGGGCGUAAAAGGGGCCAGCGUAGGCGGGUUUGUUAAGUCAGGCGUNAAAGCCCUGGGCUNAACCUGGGAUGNGCGCUUGAUACUGGCAGGCUUGAGUGCAGGAGAGGAUGGUGGGAUUCCCAGUGUAGAGGUGAAAUUCGUAGAUAUUGGGAAGAACACCGGUGGCGAAGGCGGCCAUCUGGACUGCAACUGACGCUGA